UCUGGAGAAGACGUUGAACCGGCUGACUAAAGGAGAGCUGACCCCUGAAGAGGUCAAUCUGGUCUGUAGCAAGGCCAUGGAGGAGGCUGACCUCGACGGGGACAGCAAGCUCUCCUUCUCGGACUUCGAGAACAUGAUCUCUAAAGCUCCAGACUUUCUAAGCACGUUCCACCUACGGAUCUGAGGUGAGGUGAUUCAGCCGCUCCCAUGAUGAGGCUUUAGACAAUGACGGAAGAGGAGGGGGAAGAUGAAGAAGAAGAAGAAGAAGAAGAAGAAUGUGGUCGCUUUCUGGUUCGUCUGAUGACGUCAUCCCCGAAGACUCCUCCCAGAGUCUCUGUGGCCCCGACCCACAGCAGAAUGAACCCUGACCUCAACCUCAGUACAGCAUAGUGCCUACCAAAAAAAAAAACGUUAGUAGAGAAGUCUUGUCUUUCCCCAAGUCUAUCUUCGAUCGAUGCGAUGUUUGUACAAAAUAUAACAUUGAGAAGAUAAAAAAGGAAGUGGAACAAAAGUUUGGCUUCGGCUGCAGGAAAAUGGACCAGGAGGGAUUUUAUUCUCGGAAGCACAGGCCUUUUUUUUUUUUGCCAACUCAUGUUCUAUAGGAAGGACGUUAUCGACCACAAGACACAUUUCCAUUUUCGGAAGAGAAGAUCAUUAAUGCAUGAUUGUUUUCUCUUAUAAUCAAUUGUAAACUUGUUUAAAAGAUGGAACCACAAACAGACUCCAAAUGGAGAUAGAAAAUGAACCGAUGAACAACGAGGGGCUAAUUUUUUAUACCUGUAGGGCUUAGCUACAACACAACCUAUAAGCAGUUUUCUAGAAGAUGUAGAAGAUGUUUUUUUGGGGCAGAAUUGUUAGGUUUCUUCUUUCUUUAAACUGACCUAACCUUUUUUUGAAGUGUAUACAUUGUAUGAACACUGACUGACAACAAUGCGGAAGUGGAUUGAACAACGAGAUAUUUUCUGUCUGACGGUGUACGGAAGGGAAAAAAACAGUAAGAUAUAUUAGUAAAUGAAGUAUUACAAGCACAGUUUUUAGCACCGAGGGCAGAACAGUUGAAGAGCUAUGCAAUAUAUCUUUAUGAAAUGCAUGAGUGUUACAUAAAAUUGCAAAUAGCUUUUAAUUUUUUUUUUGUUGCUCCAGUCCAAGUAUAUAGUGGUUUUGUACUGCUGGAUCACAAUGACAAUCAGAACCUGUGACGUAGAGGUAACGUGAACAAAUAGCUGGGUAAACGCUGAAUCGCCGUUUCGCGGUGAGUAAAAGUAACACUCCUCCUCUAUGCUUUCAACUCUCUUUAUAUUUUCCUGCAUUUAGAAAGGUGGGAGAAAACUCACGCGCACAAAACAACACAAAAAAAAUAUAUAAAAAAUGCGCGUUGUUUUUUUAUUUUUAUGUGCGCUUCCCGCUUCCCGCUCCUCUAAACCACGGACCAUAAUGUUACCUAACUGUUCCACAGUUAAAGGAAGGGCUCUGUUCUCUGUCUCAUCACCCCUUCCGUUAUGUUAUGCUAUGUUACCUUGUCCAGCCUGUCAACUUGAUAUAAUGGCAUUAACAUCACUUAAGAAAUAACGUGUUCAGUCUUUCAUAUGAUAAGAGCAUUUGGCUAGACUUUGAUUAAAUACAUUUUCUGUUUGCUUCGA
This is a long non-coding RNA of Oncorhynchus gorbuscha (pink salmon), 1640 nucleotides long. RefSeq lists it as uncharacterized. The record is from RefSeq and is a predicted model, not a curated record. Lineage: Eukaryota; Metazoa; Chordata; Actinopteri; Salmoniformes; Salmonidae. The transcript is spliced from 2 exons.